RNAcentral lists this ribosomal RNA (788 nucleotides) under Kocuria sp. RNAcentral describes it as "bacterial SSU rRNA". It matches the Rfam family "Bacterial small subunit ribosomal RNA", at positions 56 to 850 of the family's 1533-position model. The record is from RNAcentral. Lineage: Bacteria; Bacillati; Actinomycetota; Actinomycetes; Micrococcales; Micrococcaceae.
UGCAGUCGAACGCUGAAGCUUGGUGCUUGCACUGGGUGGAUGAGUGGCGAACGGGUGAGUAAUACGUGAGUAACCUGCCCUUGACUCUGGGAUAAGCCUGGGAAACUGGGUCUAAUACUGGAUACGACAUGUCACCGCAUGGUGGUGUGUGGAAAGGGUUUUACUGGUUUUGGAUGGGCUCACGGCCUAUCAGCUUGUUGGUGGGGUAAUGGCUCACCAAGGCGACGACGGGUAGCCGGCCUGAGAGGGUGACCGGCCACACUGGGACUGAGACACGGCCCAGACUCCUACGGGAGGCAGCAGUGGGGAAUAUUGCACAAUGGGCGGAAGCCUGAUGCAGCGACGCCGCGUGAGGGAUGACGGCCUUCGGGUUGUAAACCUCUUUCAGCACGGAAGAAGCGAAAGUGACGGUACGUGCAGAAGAAGCGCCGGCUAACUACGUGCCAGCAGCCGCGGUAAUACGUAGGGCGCAAGCGUUGUCCGGAAUUAUUGGGCGUAAAGAGCUCGUAGGCGGUUUGUCGCGUCUGCUGUGAAAGCCCGGGGCUUAACCCCGGGUGUGCAGUGGGUACGGGCAGACUUGAGUGCAGUAGGGGAGACUGGAAUUCCUGGUGUAGCGGUGAAAUGCGCAGAUAUCAGGAGGAACACCGAUGGCGAAGGCAGGUCUCUGGGCUGUUACUGACGCUGAGGAGCGAAAGCAUGGGGAGCGAACAGGAUUAGAUACCCUGGUAGUCCAUGCCGUAAACGUUGGGCACUAGGUGUGGGGAACAUUCCACGUUUUCCGCGCCGUA